Long non-coding RNA from Bombina bombina (fire-bellied toad), 592 nucleotides. RefSeq lists it as uncharacterized. NCBI's taxonomy places the organism in Eukaryota, Metazoa, Chordata, Amphibia, Anura, Bombinatoridae. The transcript has 2 exons. The record is from RefSeq and is a predicted model, not a curated record.
CAGUUUCAAGUGAUUUAGCAUAUGAGUAUUAUGUCCCUUUAACUGCAAAGGGUUCCAAUGCACUUAACAUUCAGAUACUCAUUAUUGUACACUUUCUAGGGGACCGUCAUUCUCCCAGUGCUAACUUCUGUAUUGCAAGACAAGGAUUAUUUUGAGAAACCAGAUGAGUUUUACCCUCAACACUUUCUUGAUUCUGAAGGGAAUUUUGUACGGACUGACGCAUUCAUGCCAUUUUCAGCAGGUCAAAUAAUUUGUGCUGGGGAGAAUUUAGCCAGAAUGGAGCUGUUUCUGUUCUUUACAAGACUGUUGCAGAAGUUUACAUUUCGUAAUCCUCCGGGUGUUCCUGACGUUGAUCUUAUUCCAAUGGACGGAGCUACUAGAAAUCCCAAGAAAUAUCAGAUGUGUGCUGUACCUCGUACCUAGAUGUGUGCUGUACCUUAUACCUAAAUGUGUGCUGUACCUUAUACCUAAAUGUGUGCUGUACCUCAUCCCUAGAUGUGUGCUGUACCUCAUCCCUAGAUGUGUGCUGUACCUCAUACCUAGAUAUGUGCUGUACCUCGUACCUAGAGUAGAAAAUAAAGAUUUAAAUGUG